AGGACGAACGCUGGCGGCGUGCUUAACACAUGCAAGUGGAGCGACGAACCAGGGCUUGCCCUGGGGCAGAGCCGCGAACGGGUGAGUAACACGUGGGUUACCUACCCCGAUGACCGGGACAACCCGAGGAAACUCGGGCUAAUACCGGAUGUGGUCCUCGGACUAAAGGAAGCUUCGGCCUCCGCAUCGGGAUGGGCCCGCGGCGCAUUAGCUUGUUGGUGGGGUAACGGCCUACCAAGGCGACGAUGCGUAGCUGGUCUGAGAGGACGAUCAGCCACACUGGGACUGAGACACGGCCCAGACUCCUACGGGAGGCAGCAGUGGGGAAUCUUGCGCAAUGCGCGAAAGCGUGACGCAGCAACGCCGCGUGGGGGAAGAAGGCCUUCGGGUUGUAAACCUCUUUCAGGAGGGACGAAGCUACUCGGGUUAAUAGCCCAGAGGGUGACGGUACCUCCAGAAGAAGCCCGGCUAACUACGUGCCAGCAGCCGC
Molecule: ribosomal RNA, 490 nt
Filed under: uncultured bacterium
Lineage: Bacteria
Description: SSU rRNA
Rfam family: Bacterial small subunit ribosomal RNA
Source: RNAcentral